RNAcentral lists this ribosomal RNA (451 nucleotides) under uncultured bacterium. Its description in RNAcentral is "partial 16S ribosomal RNA". It matches the Rfam family "Bacterial small subunit ribosomal RNA", at positions 28 to 507 of the family's 1533-position model. The record is from RNAcentral.
AGCGAACGCUGGCGGCAUGCCUAACACAUGCAAGUCGCACGGGGGGGCUUCGGCCUCCCAGUGGCGGACGGGUGAGGAACGCGUAGGGACCUGUCGAGGGGUGGGGGAUAGCCGCGGGAAACUGCGGCUAAUACCGCAUGACGCCGCGGCGUGACAGCCGGGGCCAAAGGCGAAAGCCGCCCGCCGAGGGGCCUGCGUCCGAUUAGCUGGUUGGCGGGGUAGCGGCCCACCAAGGCGUCGAUCGGUAGCUGGUCUGAGAGGGUGAUCAGCCACACCGGGACUGAGACACGGCCCGGACUCCUACGGGAGGCAGCAGUGGGGAAUAUUGGACAAUGGGCGCAAGCCUGAUCCAGCAAUGCCGCGUGGGUGAAGAAGGUCUUCGGAUUGUAAAGCCCUUUCGGCGGGGACGAUGGUGACGGUACCCGCAGAAGAAGCCCCGGCUAACUUCGUG